GUAGGGUGCUAACGUUGUUCGGAAUCACUGGGCAUAAAGAGCGCGUAGGCGGUCUAAUAAGUCAGGUGUGAAAUCCCCCGGUUCAACCGGGGAACUGCACCUGAUACUGUUGGGCUUGAGUGCAGGAGGGGAGAGCGGAAUUCCUGGUGGAGCGGUGAAAUGCGUAGAUAUCAGGAGGAACGCCGGCGGCGAAAGCGGCUCUCUGGUCUGUUACUGACGCUGAGGCGCGAAAGCUAGGGGAGCAAACGGGAUUAGAUACCCCGGUAGUCCUAGCCCUAAACGAUGGGUACUAAGUAGAGGGAGCUCCGAUGUUCUCUCUGCCGGAGCUAAUGUAUUAAGUACCCCGCCUGGGGAGUAUGGUCGCAAGGCU
RNAcentral lists this ribosomal RNA (370 nucleotides) under uncultured Planctomyces sp. RNAcentral's name for it is "bacterial SSU rRNA". It matches the Rfam family "Bacterial small subunit ribosomal RNA", at positions 527 to 895 of the family's 1533-position model. Lineage: Bacteria; Pseudomonadati; Planctomycetota; Planctomycetia; Planctomycetales; Planctomycetaceae. The record is from RNAcentral.